RNAcentral lists this ribosomal RNA (253 nucleotides) under uncultured bacterium. Its description in RNAcentral is "partial 16S ribosomal RNA". It matches the Rfam family "Bacterial small subunit ribosomal RNA", at positions 524 to 776 of the family's 1533-position model. The record is from RNAcentral.
UACGAGAGGCCCAAACGUUGUUCGGAAUCACUGGGCUUAAAGGGCGCGUAGGCGGGCCGCCGCGUCCGGGGUGAAAUCCCCCCGCUCAACGGGGGGACGGCCUCGGAUACGGGCGGCCUGGAGGCGGGUAGGGGCACGCGGAACUGUGGGUGGAGCGGUGAAAUGCGUAGAGAUCCGGAGGAACACCAGAGGCGAAGGCGGCCUGCUGGGCUGCACCUGACGCUGAGCCGCGAAAGCCAGGGGAGCGAACGGG